This 147-nucleotide non-coding RNA is filed under the name Candidatus Zhuqueibacterota. RNAcentral describes it as "Candidate division FMN sequence". It matches the Rfam family "FMN riboswitch aptamer (RFN element)". Rfam says of the family: The RFN element is a highly conserved domain that is found frequently in the 5'-untranslated regions of prokaryotic mRNAs that encode for flavin mononucleotide (FMN) biosynthesis and transport proteins. This element is a metabolite-dependent riboswitch that directly binds FMN in the absence of proteins. Lineage: Bacteria; Pseudomonadati. The record is from RNAcentral.
GAAGCCCUUCGGGGUGAGGUGAAAUUCCUCGAUCGGUGGUAUAGCCCACGACCCAUACGGGACGAACUGGUGAGAUUCCAGUGCCGACGGUUCACCGUGAACGGGUUCACCGUGAACGGUUCAAAGUCCGGAUGGAAGAAGGGUAAA